GCACAAGCAGCGGAGCGUGUGGUUUAAUUCGAGGCUACGCGAAGAACCUUACCUGGGUUUGACAUAUGGGUGGUAGGGAACCGAAAGGGACCGACCUUCGGGAGCCCAUACAGGUGCUGCAUGGCUGUCGUCGGCUCGUGCCGUGAGGUGUUCGGUUAAGUCCGGUAACGAGCGCAACCCUCGUCGUCAGUUACAAGUGUCUGACGAGACUGCCCGUGAUAAGCGGGAGGAAGGUGGGGAUGACGUCAAGUCAGCAUGGCCUUUAUAUCCAGGGCUACACACACGCUACAAUGGCCGGUACAAUGGGUCGCCAACCCGCGAGGGGGAGCCAAUCCAAUAAAGCCGGUCUCAGUUCGGAUUGCAGGCUGCAACCCGCCUGCAUGAAGUCGGAGUUGCUAGUAACCGCGCGUCAGCACAGUGCGGUGAAUACGUUCCCGGGCCUU
This 443-nucleotide ribosomal RNA is filed under the name uncultured Anaerolineaceae bacterium. Its description in RNAcentral is "bacterial SSU rRNA". It matches the Rfam family "Bacterial small subunit ribosomal RNA", at positions 923 to 1382 of the family's 1533-position model. Lineage: Bacteria; Bacillati; Chloroflexota; Anaerolineae; Anaerolineales; Anaerolineaceae. The record is from RNAcentral.